UUUAUACUCCCUCCGUCUGGAAUUACUUAUUGUACAAAUGAAUAAAAAUGGAUUUAUCUAGAACUAAAAUACAUCUAGAUACAUCUAUUCUUACGAUAAGUAUUUCCGGAAGGAGGGAGUAGCAA
Hordeum vulgare subsp. vulgare (domesticated barley) is the source of this 125-nucleotide non-coding RNA. Lineage: Eukaryota; Viridiplantae; Streptophyta; Magnoliopsida; Poales; Poaceae. The record is from Rfam.